Molecule: transfer RNA, 75 nt
Filed under: Thiobacillus sp.
Lineage: Bacteria; Pseudomonadati; Pseudomonadota; Betaproteobacteria; Nitrosomonadales; Thiobacillaceae
Also listed under: 1 other name
Description: tRNA-Val
Rfam family: tRNA
About the family: Transfer RNA (tRNA) molecules are approximately 80 nucleotides in length. Their secondary structure includes four short double-helical elements and three loops (D, anti-codon, and T loops).
Source: RNAcentral
GGGCGGUUAGCUCAGUGGUAGAGCACAGCAUUCACAUUGCUGGGGUCACAGGUUCAAGCCCUGUACCGCCCACCA